UGAAGAAAAGAAAAAAAACCAAAAACAAAGUUUUCUUUAAGCUGUAACCCAGGCGUAACUGAGAAGAAAUUGCCAUACAUAUUUAAAGAUAAUAGCUUCUGUUUCUGAAAUGUCUCCUCUGCCCCAGACACUGUUUACUUCGUUACCGAUUUCAUAUCAUUUAUCCUUCAUGAGUACUUUGCAAGGGAGGUGUCGGUAAAGUCCUUCAACAGAUUUAAAUAUGAGUCUCAGACAAGUUUAUAAACUUGCUGUGGGAAACCUAGCUGCUCAAUGAAGGGGCUGAAAAAUCCAUUCCAGUUCUGACUGCAGUCUUUUGUAACAACACCUUGUCUAAAGACCACCAGAAUCAAUUCUAGCAGCUUUCAAAUGCGUGUACUUAAAAAAAAGAAAGAAUUUCCAACAGACAUAUAAAAUGCCAGAAUUAAACGUUCAAGGGUACUGGGAGCAGCAAAGAAAAGCCACAGCAACAUCAGUUUGACCACGAAUGCUGCUUAAUGGUGUGUUAAAACGCUGCAAUGAAGAAUAACUUGCUGACAUGAUACCUCCUGAAGGGACACACACAAAUGCUGACUCCUUUGUUUUUUAAUUGGUUCCUUCGCCAUUUCAGCUGCCACCAUCCCCUCUCCCCAAAACCCCAGUAGACAUCAACAGAAUCCAGAAACUACAGGGUCCACUGGCAUGGCAGGGCCUGUAGGAUUCUUUUCCAAUGUGUACAGAUUGGCUGAUGCCUGGACUAUGCCAGUUCACUGUUUUAAAGAUUACUCUUGAUUGUCACAAUUAAAAACAAAGAAUAUUUAGAACCAAAUUAUAUGUGUUGCACAUUAAACAAAACGUUUUAUAAUA
Molecule: long non-coding RNA, 843 nt
Organism: Homo sapiens (human)
Lineage: Eukaryota; Metazoa; Chordata; Mammalia; Primates; Hominidae
Exons: 4
Source: RefSeq, a predicted model, not a curated record